GCUCUCUGGUGAUGUUUAGCACUGGGCUCAGAUCGUUGGUGGUGACUGAAGUGCAGCUCUGUCCCUGACAUGGCAGAGUCUGAGGAGAGG
This is a small nucleolar RNA of Notolabrus celidotus (New Zealand spotty), 90 nucleotides long. NCBI's taxonomy places the organism in Eukaryota, Metazoa, Chordata, Actinopteri, Labriformes, Labridae. The record is from RefSeq and is a predicted model, not a curated record.